UACGGAGGGUGCGAGCGUUGUCCGGAAUCACUGGGCGUAAAGGGCGCGUAGGUGGCCCGUUAAGUGGCUGGUGAAAUCCCGCGGCUCAACUGCGGGGCUGCCGGUCAUACUGGCGAGCUAGAGCACGGUAGGGGCAGAUGGAAUUCCCGGUGUAGCGGUGGAAUGCGUAGAGAUCGGGAAGAAUACCAGUGGCGAAGGCGUUCUGCUGGGCCGUUGCUGACACUGAGGCGCGACAGCAUGGGGAGCGAACGGG
This 253-nucleotide ribosomal RNA is filed under the name uncultured bacterium. Its description in RNAcentral is "partial 16S ribosomal RNA". It matches the Rfam family "Bacterial small subunit ribosomal RNA", at positions 524 to 776 of the family's 1533-position model. The record is from RNAcentral.